This 465-nucleotide ribosomal RNA is filed under the name uncultured bacterium. Its description in RNAcentral is "partial 16S ribosomal RNA". It matches the Rfam family "Bacterial small subunit ribosomal RNA", at positions 339 to 795 of the family's 1533-position model. The record is from RNAcentral.
CUACGGGUCGCUGCAGUGGGGAAUAUUGCGCAAUGGGGGAAACCCUGACGCAGCAACGCCGUGUGAGGGAUGAAGGCUUUCGGGUCGUAAACCUCUGUCAGGCAGGACGAAACAUCUAAACAUGAAUAAUGUUUAGAUCUGACGGUACUGCCAGAGGAAGUCCCGGCUAACUCCGUGCCAGCAGCCGCGGUAAUACGGAGGGGACAAACGUUGUUCGGACUUACUGGGCGUAAAGCGCGCGUAGGCGGUUUGCUAAGUCAGAUGUGAAAGUCCAUGGCUCAACUAUGGAAGUGCAUUUGAAACUGGCAGACUUGAGUACUGGAGGGGGUGAUGGAAUUCCCGGUGUAGAGGUGAAAUUCGUAGAUAUCGGGAGGAAUACCGGUGGCGAAGGCGAUCACCUGGCCAGAUACUGACGCUGAGGUGCGAAAGCGUGGGGAGCAAACAGGAUUAGAUACCCCUGUAGUC